GUCCUAGCCGUAAACAAUGGAUACUAGGUGUUGAACAGAUCGACCUGUGCAGUACCAAAGCUAACGCGUUAAGUAUCCCGCCUGGGAAGUAUGCACGCAAGUGUGAAACUCAAAGGAAUUGACGGGGGGCCCGCACAAGCGGUGGAGCAUGUGGUUUAAUUCGAUGCAACGCGAAGAACCUUACCAGGGUUUGACAUGAUACGAAUUUCUUUGAAAGAAGAAAGUGCCUUUUGGAACGUAUACACAGGUGGUGCAUGGCUGUCGU
Molecule: ribosomal RNA, 265 nt
Filed under: uncultured bacterium
Lineage: Bacteria
Description: partial 16S ribosomal RNA
Rfam family: Bacterial small subunit ribosomal RNA
Source: RNAcentral